GCAAAACGCGAAGAACCUUACCUACCCUUGACAUGUCUGGAAUCCCGAAGAGAUUUGGGAGUGCUCGCAAGAGAACCGGAACACAGGUGCUGCAUGGCUGUCGUCAGCUCGUGUCGUGAGAUGUUGGGUUAAGUCCCGCAACGAGCGCAACCCUUGUCAUUAGUUGCUACGAAAGGGCACUCUAAUGAGACUGCCGGUGACAAACCGGAGGAAGGUGGGGAUGACGUCAAGUCCUCAUGGCCCUUAUGGGUAGGGCUUCACACGUCAUACAAUGGUCGGGACAGAGGGUCGCCAACCCGCGAGGGGGAGCCAAUCCCAGAAACCCGAUCGUAGUCCGGAUCGCAGUCUGCAACUCGACUGCGUGAAGUCGGAAUCGCUAGUAAUCGCGAAUCAGAAUGUCGCGGUGAAUACGUUCCCGGGUCUUGUACACACCG
This 434-nucleotide ribosomal RNA is filed under the name uncultured bacterium. Its description in RNAcentral is "bacterial SSU rRNA". It matches the Rfam family "Bacterial small subunit ribosomal RNA", at positions 954 to 1392 of the family's 1533-position model. The record is from RNAcentral.